Molecule: transfer RNA, 73 nt
Organism: Paenibacillus sp. FSL H7-0737
Lineage: Bacteria; Bacillati; Bacillota; Bacilli; Caryophanales; Paenibacillaceae
Rfam family: tRNA
About the family: Transfer RNA (tRNA) molecules are approximately 80 nucleotides in length. Their secondary structure includes four short double-helical elements and three loops (D, anti-codon, and T loops).
Source: Rfam
GGGGCCAUAGCUCAGCUGGGAGAGCGCAUCGCUGGCAGCGAUGAGGUCAGGGGUUCGAUCCCCCUUGGCUCCA